UGGAAAAAACUGAAGUGUUAUAUUUAACCACAGAACAAACAUGCAUAUGCAAGCUUCUUCCACAUUACCCUACUAAUGUGCCUCAACCCUGGCCUGGAGACACCGCCUCUGGUGUUGAGAGGCUUGUUUAGUCCUCAUUCUACUUGGUGCUCCU
Unclassified non-coding RNA from Chelonoidis abingdonii (Abingdon island giant tortoise), 154 nucleotides. The record is from Ensembl. NCBI's taxonomy places the organism in Eukaryota, Metazoa, Chordata, Testudines, Testudinidae.